UGGGUUGAACUACGCAGGAAAAGCCGUAGAGAUGCGGUGUCCGUAAGGGCCUGCGAUAGGUGGUGCAUGGCUGUCGUCAGCUCGUGUCGUGAGAUGUUGGGUUAAGUCCCGCAACGAGCGCAACCCUUGUCCUAUGUUGCCAGCGGGUAAUGCCGGGGACUCGUAGGAGACUGCCGGGGUCAACUCGGAGGAAGGUGGGGAUGACGUGUCGUUACCUUA
This 219-nucleotide unclassified non-coding RNA is filed under the name uncultured Acidimicrobiia bacterium. RNAcentral describes it as "contains 16S-23S intergenic spacer region". It matches the Rfam family "Bacterial small subunit ribosomal RNA", at positions 978 to 1197 of the family's 1533-position model. Lineage: Bacteria; Bacillati; Actinomycetota; Acidimicrobiia. The record is from RNAcentral.